Molecule: ribosomal RNA, 253 nt
Filed under: uncultured bacterium
Lineage: Bacteria
Description: partial 16S ribosomal RNA
Rfam family: Bacterial small subunit ribosomal RNA
Source: RNAcentral
UACGUAGGGAGCAAGCGUUGUUCGGAUUUACUGGGCGUAAAGGGCGCGUAGGCGGCAAAUUAAGUCAGCUGUGAAAUCUCCGAGCUUAACUCGGAACGGUCAGCUGAUACUGAUCUGCUAGAGUGCGGAAGGGGCAAUCGGAAUUCUUGGUGUAGCGGUGAAAUGCGUAGAUAUCAAGAGGAACACCGGUGGCGAAGGCGGGAUCCUGGGCCAGUACUGACGCUGAGGAGCGAAAGCGUGGGGAGCAAACAGG